Long non-coding RNA from Neoarius graeffei (lesser salmon catfish), 364 nucleotides. RefSeq lists it as uncharacterized. The transcript is spliced from 3 exons. NCBI's taxonomy places the organism in Eukaryota, Metazoa, Chordata, Actinopteri, Siluriformes, Ariidae. The record is from RefSeq and is a predicted model, not a curated record.
GGAUACUUCAUCUGAUGCACUUCUUUAUUUCUGUCACAAGCUGAUUGCACAAGGAAAUCUUGUUAUCUCAUUCAACUUAUAACUUAUCAAUGGGGCCAUUAGCUUCACAUCGAGUUUUGGACAGCCAGGGGAAAAUUCCAAUUCUUCAAUAAAAAUCAGUUGCAAUGGAAACUUUUACUUUCCAUUUUUCUGAACAGAGACCUGAGAUCAAGUGACCAAGGAGCAUCAAAAGCAAACACUGAUGUCUCUCUGUGUUCUUUGAAUCAAUGUGGGUUCUUAAGCUGCCUGUCUGGUCUUCCAGAAGUUAAAAUCAUUAUUCAUGGCAUCACAAGGACAAGCAAGUCUCCGUUUUGUCACCUGGAAC